GACGAACGCUGGCGGCGUGCCUAACACAUGCAAGUCGAACGGAAACAGCUCGAAGCUUGCUUUGGACUGUUUUAGUGGCGGACGGGUGAGUAACGCGUGAGGAACCUGCCUUCUAGAGGGGGAUAACGUCUGGAAACGGACGCUAAUACCGCAUGAUAUUCCGAGAUCACAUGGUUUUGGAAUCAAAGGAGCAAUCCGCUGGAAGAUGGACUCGCGUCCGAUUAGCCAGUUGGCGGGGUAACGGCCCACCAAAGCAACGAUCGGUAGCCGGGCUGAGAGGCUGAACGGCCACAUUGGGACUGAGACACGGCCCAGACUCCUACGGGAGGCAGCAGUGGGGGAUAUUGCACAAUGGAGGAAACUCUGAUGCAGCAACGCCGCGUGAGGGAAGAAGGUCUUCGGAUUGUAAACCUUUGUCCCCGGUGACGAUAAUGACGGUAGCCGAGGAGGAAGCUCCGGCUAACUACGUGC
This 471-nucleotide ribosomal RNA is filed under the name uncultured Clostridium sp. RNAcentral's name for it is "bacterial SSU rRNA". It matches the Rfam family "Bacterial small subunit ribosomal RNA", at positions 28 to 508 of the family's 1533-position model. Lineage: Bacteria; Bacillati; Bacillota; Clostridia; Eubacteriales; Clostridiaceae. The record is from RNAcentral.